CUGUGAUCACAGUAUAGACAUAUCCUAAGAUAUUUUGGCUGUUAUUCCAUACCAAAAGCUACAUGGAGAGAACACAUAGGUUGCACGGUCAAGCACUCAAGCACAGCUUUCUUGAGGUGCAGUUGAAGUGAUGAGGAAAUAAUAUGGCUCCAUAUUAGCAGAAAAGCAGCCUGCUGUGUCUGUUCCUGAACCUUGAAUGCAAACAGCCGAUGGAGUAAGUUUGCCUGAAUUAUGAGGUUUUCACUCAGC
This is a long non-coding RNA of Mauremys reevesii (Reeves's turtle), 249 nucleotides long. RefSeq lists it as uncharacterized. Lineage: Eukaryota; Metazoa; Chordata; Testudines; Geoemydidae. The transcript is spliced from 3 exons. The record is from RefSeq and is a predicted model, not a curated record.